This 596-nucleotide ribosomal RNA is filed under the name Cutaneotrichosporon sp. Its description in RNAcentral is "partial large subunit ribosomal RNA". It matches the Rfam family "Eukaryotic large subunit ribosomal RNA", at positions 62 to 648 of the family's 3401-position model. The record is from RNAcentral. Lineage: Eukaryota; Fungi; Basidiomycota; Tremellomycetes; Trichosporonales; Trichosporonaceae.
AAACUAACAAGGAUUCCCCUAGUAACGGCGAGUGAAGCGGGAAGAGCUCAAAUUUGAAAUCUGGCGCCCUUUGGACGUCCGAGUUGUAAUCUAUAGAAGUGUUUUCCGUGCUGGACCGUGUCCAAGUCCCUUGGAACAGGGUAUCAAAGAGGGUGACAAUCCCGUACUUGACACGACCACCAGUGCUCUGUGAUACACUCUCUACGAGUCGAGUUGUUUGGGAAUGCAGCUCUAAAUGGGUGGUAAAUUCCAUCUAAAGCUAAAUAUUGGCGAGAGACCGAUAGCGAACAAGUACCGUGAGGGAAAGAUGAAAAGCACUUUGGAAAGAGAGUUAAACAGUACGUGAAAUUGUUGAAAGGGAAACGAUUGAAGUCAGUCGUGUUCUUUGGAUUCAGCCAGUUCUGCUGGUGUAUUUCCUUUGAACGGGUCAACAUCAGUUUUGUUCGGUGGAUAAAGAUGGUUGGAAUGUAGCUUCCUCGGAAGUGUUAUAGCCUUCUAUCACAUACACUGGAGGAGACUGAGGACUGCAGCUCGCCUUUUGGCCGGGGUUCGCCCACGUUCGAGCUUAGGAUGUUGACAUAAUGGCUUUAAACGAC